This 200-nucleotide ribosomal RNA is filed under the name Corynebacterium efficiens. RNAcentral's name for it is "partial 16S ribosomal RNA". It matches the Rfam family "Bacterial small subunit ribosomal RNA", at positions 327 to 523 of the family's 1533-position model. Lineage: Bacteria; Bacillati; Actinomycetota; Actinomycetes; Mycobacteriales; Corynebacteriaceae. The record is from RNAcentral.
CGGUCCAGACUCCUACGGGAGGCAGCAGUGGGGAAUAUUGCACAAUGGGGCGCAAGCCCAGUGAUGGCAGCGAACGCCGCGUGGGGGGAUGACGGCCUUCGGGUUGUAAACUCCCUUUCGGACAUGGGACGGAAAGCGUUAAGAGUGACGGUACCUGUAGAAGAAGCAACCGGCUAACUACGUGCCAGCAGCCGCGGUAA